This 269-nucleotide ribosomal RNA is filed under the name uncultured prokaryote. RNAcentral describes it as "partial 16S ribosomal RNA". It matches the Rfam family "Bacterial small subunit ribosomal RNA", at positions 524 to 792 of the family's 1533-position model. The record is from RNAcentral.
UACGUAGGAGGCAAGCGUUAUUCGGAUUUAUUGGGCGUAAAGAGGGCGUAGGCGGCUUUCCAAGUCAGAUGUAAAAUCUCCCGGCUCAACCGGGAGGGACCAUUUGAUACUGUUAGGCUAGAGGACAGCAGAGGGAGGUGGAAUUCCCGGUGUAGUGGUGAAAUGCGUAGAUAUCGGGAGGAACACCAGUGGCGAAGGCGACCUCCUGGGCUGUUUCUGACGCUGAGGCCCGAAAGCGUGGGGAGCAAACAGGAUUAGAUACCCCCGUA